UACGUAGGGGGCAAGCGUUGUCCGGAUUUAUUGGGCGUAAAGAGCGUGUAGGCGGUUCGGUAGGUCCGUUGUGAAAACUCGAGGCUCAACCUCGAGACGCCGAUGGAAACCAUCGAACUAGAGUCCGGAAGAGGAGAGUGGAAUUCCUGGUGUAGCGGUGAAAUGCGCAGAUAUCAGGAAGAACACCCGUGGCUAAGGCGGCUCUCUAGUACGGUACUGACGCUGAGACGCGAAAGCGUGGGGAGCGAACGGG
RNAcentral lists this ribosomal RNA (253 nucleotides) under uncultured bacterium. RNAcentral's name for it is "partial 16S ribosomal RNA". It matches the Rfam family "Bacterial small subunit ribosomal RNA", at positions 524 to 776 of the family's 1533-position model. The record is from RNAcentral.